This 497-nucleotide ribosomal RNA is filed under the name uncultured bacterium. RNAcentral's name for it is "partial 16S ribosomal RNA". It matches the Rfam family "Bacterial small subunit ribosomal RNA", at positions 28 to 507 of the family's 1533-position model. The record is from RNAcentral.
GAUGAACGCUGGCGGCGUGCCUAAUACAUGCAAGUCGAGCGAACGGACGAGAAGCUUGCUUCUCUGAUGUUAGCGGCGGACGGGUGAGUAACACGUGGAUAACCUACCUAUAAGACUGGGAUAACUUCGGGAAACCGGAGCUAAUACCGGAUAAUAUUUUGAACCGCAUGGUUCAAAAGUGAAAGACGGUCUUGCUGUCACUUAUAGAUGGAUCCGCGCUGCAUUAGCUAGUUGGUAAGGUAACGGCUUACCAAGGCAACGAUGCAUAGCCGACCUGAGAGGGUGAUCGGCCACACUGGAACUGAGACACGGUCCAGACUCCUACGGGAGGCAGCAGUAGGGAAUCUUCCGCAAUGGGCGAAAGCCUGACGGAGCAACGCUGCGUGAGUGAUGAAGGUCUUCGGAUCGUAAAACUCUGUUAUUAGGGAAGAACAUAUGUGUAAGUAACUGUGCACAUCUUGACGGUACCUAAUCAGAAAGCCACGGCUAACUACGUG